This 444-nucleotide long non-coding RNA is filed under the name Salvia miltiorrhiza (redroot sage). Its description in RNAcentral is "long non-coding RNA (SMIL_LNC013742)". Lineage: Eukaryota; Viridiplantae; Streptophyta; Magnoliopsida; Lamiales; Lamiaceae. The record is from RNAcentral.
ACUUAAAGAAUGCCAUGUCCUCAGGGCACAAAAGAAAAAGAGUUAGAGAACAUCCCUGAUUAUCGGCAUUGAAAAGCUGAAGCAUCGUGAGAGGCGGCGAAAAGUGAGGUUUGCAGCCUUUUGCAUAGUAGAAACGACAACGCUGGAUCUGGGUAACGCUGGCAGCAAGGUCAGAGCAGAAAUUGCAGCGCUGAAAACAAAGUCAUUAACACCCAAAAAAAAUCAAAGUAUCCGCACAAGCAACCAAAACUUAGGAAAACACAAAAAAAAAAAAACGUAAAGCAAAAAAAAAAAAACAAGAAAAACAAAAACACAAACAAACCAACGGUGGGUUGCCUCCCACAAAGUGCUAGUUUUAAAGUCGCCAGCCCGACGUAGAGGAUCCCUUAACCAAAAUCGCUAUGAAACGUCAGCUGAAUUAGUCCUCGUGAAAGCACAUCAUCC